This 407-nucleotide long non-coding RNA is filed under the name Solanum lycopersicum (tomato). Its description in RNAcentral is "long non-coding RNA (SLYC_LNC001164)". Lineage: Eukaryota; Viridiplantae; Streptophyta; Magnoliopsida; Solanales; Solanaceae. The record is from RNAcentral.
AUGGCUUCCUCAAUUGUCUCAUCGGCAGCCGCUGCUACCCGUAGCAAUGUUGCUCAAGCUAGCAUGGUCGCACCCUUCACCGGACUCAAAUCCGCCGCUUCUUUUCCCGUUACCAAGAAGAACAACAACGUUGACAUUACCUCCCUUGCUAGCAAUGGUGGACGCGUUAGAUGCAUGCAGGUUAUUCAAAAAUAAGUGAUUCAAUUAUCAGUAUGUAUAUAUAAUUUAAAUUCAACGCGAUUAUUUUAUAAUCGUGGAAUGUUUGACUAAUGUAGGUGUGGCCACCAAUCAACAUGAAGAAAUACGAGACAUUGUCAUACCUUCCUGACUUGUCCGAUGAGCAAUUGCUUAGCGAAAUUGAGUAUCUUUUGAAAAAUGGAUGGGUUCCUUGCUUGGAAUUCGAGACU